GAUGAACGCUGGCGGCGUGCCUAAUACAUGCAAGUCGAGCGAACGGACGAGAAGCUUGCUUCUCUGAUGUUAGCGGCGGACGGGUGAGUAACACGUGGAUAACCUACCUAUAAGACUGGGAUAACUUCGGGAAACCGUAGCUAAUACCGGAUAAUAUUUUGAACCGCGUGGUUCAAAAGUGAAAGACGGUCUUGCUGUCACUUAUAGAUGGAUCCGCGCUGCAUUAGCUAGUUGGUAAGGUAACGGCUUACCAAGGCAACGAUGCAUAGCCGACCUGAGAGGGUGAUCGGCCACACUGGAACUGAGACACGGUCCAGACUCCUACGGGAGGCAGCAGUAGGGAAUCUUCCGCAAUGGGCGAAAGCCUGACGGAGCAACGCCGCGUGAGUGAUGAAGGUCUUCGGAUCGUAAAACUCUGUUAUUAGGGAAGAACAUAUGUGUAAGUAACUGUGCACAUCUUGACGGUACCUAAUCAGAAAGCCACGGCUAACUACGU
Molecule: ribosomal RNA, 496 nt
Filed under: uncultured bacterium
Lineage: Bacteria
Description: partial 16S ribosomal RNA
Rfam family: Bacterial small subunit ribosomal RNA
Source: RNAcentral